GUGAGCCUGAGAUUUUUAGAAAGUCUGUGAACAUACAUUUGGCUGCUCGACAUGCGCGAAUCUGGAAGAUUCCCCAAACCUCAAGACCCUACCUGCAGCGGUCUGGGGCCUCCCUGGUGAGAUGAGACACAACACCAGUCAGGAGUCCUUGCUGCGUUUCCAAAGUGAGCUAGACGCGGUCGCGUUCAGAGAGCAGGGGCCUCGUGGAAAGCCAGGAAGCCUGAUUGCUGGCCAGAACUGGGAACACUUCUGUUCCCACGAUGUGAACCACCGCCAGGUAACUCCAGAUAUUCUUCGAUGCAUUUCGAUAAGGCAGCAUGGCUUUCUUCCAGGAAUGCCUCCAUUCAGG
RNAcentral lists this long non-coding RNA (349 nucleotides) under Mustela putorius furo (domestic ferret). RNAcentral's name for it is "lncRNA (ENSMPUG00000025544.1)". The record is from RNAcentral. Lineage: Eukaryota; Metazoa; Chordata; Mammalia; Carnivora; Mustelidae.